AAAACACUUAUGGGACAGACUGUCCCUUCUGCUGCAACAGCCUCUACGAAAAAUAGUAACACUAUUAAUAAUAAUUAAUAAACCCCUAAACCUUAGAAUAGGCUGAGAAGUUUGUCUAAUAUGCUUCAUAGAAGAGUUUUCUCUGAAAAAAAAAUAGUGUUGAAAGCUGGCAGGCUGAUGGAAUACUCCAGUCAGCGAUAAUGGGAUAGGAUUCCUUUUCUUCAUUAUUUCUUUUGGAAGCAGCACCACUAUUAACUGGGAUGGCUAGGGGCACUCCUUUUGUACUGCUAGCACUAAAAUUCUUGUCCGGGUGCAAGGUGAAGUAAAGCGAAAGCAUUUGCCAAGAGUGUUUUCAUUAAUCAGGAAUGAAAGUUGGAGGUUCAAAGUCAACACACUACCUAGUGGUAUUAUGUCCAUCACACACCAGGCAGCUCGAGGAAACCCACGCCUCUGAGUU
RNAcentral lists this non-coding RNA (457 nucleotides) under Tinamus guttatus (white-throated tinamou). RNAcentral describes it as "Eukaryotic small subunit ribosomal RNA". It matches the Rfam family "Eukaryotic small subunit ribosomal RNA", at positions 649 to 1113 of the family's 1831-position model. The record is from Rfam by way of RNAcentral. Lineage: Eukaryota; Metazoa; Chordata; Aves; Tinamiformes; Tinamidae.